GGUGGCUCUGUGGUAGAGUGCUUGCCUUGCAUGCAUGAGGCCGUGGGUUCGAUUCCUCAGCACCA
Molecule: transfer RNA, 65 nt
Filed under: Dipodomys ordii (Ord's kangaroo rat)
Lineage: Eukaryota; Metazoa; Chordata; Mammalia; Rodentia; Heteromyidae
Rfam family: tRNA
About the family: Transfer RNA (tRNA) molecules are approximately 80 nucleotides in length. Their secondary structure includes four short double-helical elements and three loops (D, anti-codon, and T loops).
Source: Rfam by way of RNAcentral